UGGCGGUGGUUUGAAUCUUACCCGUGCAUCUGAUUAAUUCAUUACGUACAAGGGAAAACAUGAUUGAAUUUCUUAAUAUGGGCCA
Molecule: non-coding RNA, 85 nt
Organism: Triticum urartu
Lineage: Eukaryota; Viridiplantae; Streptophyta; Magnoliopsida; Poales; Poaceae
Source: Rfam